AGUGAACGCUGGCGGUAGGCCUAACACAUGCAAGUCGAACGGCAGCACAGUAAGAGCUUGCUCUUACGGGUGGCGAGUGGCGGACGGGUGAGGAAUACAUCGGAAUCUACUUUUUCGUGGGGGAUAACGUAGGGAAACUUACGCUAAUACCGCAUACGACCUACGGGUGAAAGCAGGGGAUCUUCGGACCUUGCGCGAUUGAAUGAGCCGAUGUCGGAUUAGCUAGUUGGCGGGGUAAAGGCCCACCAAGGCGACGAUCCGUUGCUGGUCUGAGAGGAUGAUCAGCCACACUGGAACUGAGACACGGUCCAGACUCCUACGGGAGGCAGCAGUGGGGAAUAUUGGACAAUGGGCGCAAGCCUGAUCCAGCCAUACCGCGUGGGUGAAGAAGGCCUUCGGGUUGUAAAGCCCUUUUGUUGGGAAAGAAAAGCAGCAGGUUAAUACCCCGCUGUGCUGACGGUACCCAAAGAAUAAGCACCGGCUAACUUCGUG
This 492-nucleotide ribosomal RNA is filed under the name uncultured bacterium. RNAcentral's name for it is "partial 16S ribosomal RNA". It matches the Rfam family "Bacterial small subunit ribosomal RNA", at positions 29 to 507 of the family's 1533-position model. The record is from RNAcentral.